GACGAACGCUGGCGGCGUGCUUAACACAUGCAAGUCGAACGGAAAGGCCCUGCUUUUGUGGGGUGCUCGAGUGGCGAACGGGUGAGUAACACGUGAGUAACCUGCCCUUGACUUUGGGAUAACUUCAGGAAACUGGGGCUAAUACCGGAUAGGAGCUCCUGCUGCAUGGUGGGGGUUGGAAAGUUUCGGCGGUUGGGGAUGGACUCGCGGCUUAUCAGCUUGUUGGUGGGGUAGUGGCUUACCAAGGCUUUGACGGGUAGCCGGCCUGAGAGGGUGACCGGCCACAUUGGGACUGAGAUAGGGCCCAGACGCCUACGGGAGGCAGAAGUGGGGAAUAUUGCACAAUGGGGGGAAGCCUGAUGCAGCAACGCCGCGUGCGGGAUGACGGCCUUCGGGUUGUAAACCGCUUUCGCCUGUGACGAAGCGGGAGUGACGGUAAUGGGUAAAGAAGCACCGGCUAACUACGUG
This 468-nucleotide ribosomal RNA is filed under the name uncultured bacterium. RNAcentral's name for it is "partial 16S ribosomal RNA". It matches the Rfam family "Bacterial small subunit ribosomal RNA", at positions 28 to 507 of the family's 1533-position model. The record is from RNAcentral.